CCUCCUGAACCUGACUGAGCUGACCAUAGAGAAUGACAUUCCUUGCCUUCAAUAGCCUUAUCUCUUCCACUGUUCUAAGCAUUCAUCAGCUGAGGGAUAGUAGAAUGGCUGCCAACCCCUCCAUUUCUAUCAAUGUACUCACACUCUUUUAGGGUGGUCUUGGAGAAGGUUUACUUGCAAUUUCCCACCUUAGCUUUUUUCCAAAGGGACUUGAAAAAUUCAAAAACAUUAGUGAGGAGGAACCCGUAAGGCAGCCCAUGAUUGUCAUCCUUGAACCUUCUUCAUGUGUUCUAUCAUAAGACCAAGCAGGUUUAUAGUGGUGUAGCCAUCCAAUGCUUCCAUGAGAACCAGGUCUGCUCGUGAUGUAAUGGACCGUCUUUCUACGCGUCGGAGCAAAAAUUUUUCACCAAUUCAAACAGUAGUUUGUACACUGGAAGGAAGGCCAUCUUGUGUACCCAUUCCCCUUGCUGUAUUGCCUUAUCUUUCACAAUGACAUUUCGGAAGUUAGAAGAGCAGGUUCCUUCAAUGGUGGACAUUCCCCUAGUAGGCACGUCCAAAAUGAUUUCCAAUACAGUAGUGUCUAUCACAAAAUCAACACUAUUCACUUUCAGAUAGAUGUUAUCAUCCUCAAUUGUGAAGAAGUCGGCAUGGAAACCACGCACUUCUGCCUUGGUACUGUCACUAGUGAACAAAUAUGUCCAAUAGUGGUAUUCAUAGAUGUCAUCCAAUUAGCACAUUCCUGACAUAUCAAGAAUAACUGGGGCAAAUUUGCGGCCCUACAACACCUUUUGAUUUCUUAAAUUCUCUCAUUCCUCAUUCCUGAUCACAUUCACUCUUGUCUUCUUGGAGGAACCAGUUUCUUUAGUAGCUCCAUCUUUUUGCUUUGCUGAUCUUCUCACACUCUUUCCUUUGCCUGCUGAUUUCUUGGACACCUUCAGCAGACUCAUUAGCCACUCCUUCACUAGAUUUUUCAAUCACUCUUUCACCAGAUUUUUACCCUCAACGUUGCUUAAAUCCAUCUCAUUCACAUAUGACUCCUUUUUGGAAUUUGGAACAGUAAGUUUCUUUGAGGACUUACGAACCAAGGAAUUAGGUUCCUCUUCCAC
This 1106-nucleotide long non-coding RNA is filed under the name Nicotiana benthamiana. RNAcentral's name for it is "long non-coding RNA (NBEN_LNC036642)". Lineage: Eukaryota; Viridiplantae; Streptophyta; Magnoliopsida; Solanales; Solanaceae. The record is from RNAcentral.